Molecule: ribosomal RNA, 253 nt
Filed under: uncultured bacterium
Lineage: Bacteria
Description: partial 16S ribosomal RNA
Rfam family: Bacterial small subunit ribosomal RNA
Source: RNAcentral
UACGUAGGGUGCGAGCGUUGUCCGGAUUUAUUGGGCGUAAAGAGCUCGUAGGCGGCUUGUCGCGUCGAAUGUGAAAUCUCAGGGCUCAACUCUGACAUUGCAUUCGAUACGGGCAGGCUCGAGUUCGGUAGGGGAGACUGGAAUUCCUGGUGUAGCGGUGAAAUGCGCAGAUAUCAGGAGGAACACCGGUGGCGAAGGCGGGUCUCUGGGCCGAUACUGACGCUGAGAAGCGAAAGCAUGGGGAGCGAACAGG